CAAAACUACCACCUGUCCUGGAACUCACUCUUUCUCAUUUUCUUUAGGACUCCACCCCCUCAUGCCCAAACUGAAUAAACAAUUAGCAGAUAUUUACAGAGCAUCUACUAUGGUGCAAAUUAUUGGACUAAGUUUGGAAAAGAAACUUUGAAGUGCAUCAAAAGGGAAGACUGGGACAUUCAAUUGCACAAAGUACCAUGUUAUAAGCACCAAGUUGGUGAUACAGAGAAUGGUCACCUUCUUCCCCCGAGUGCGCAGCUUCUGGAGGGAUGCACAUGGAGAAGUGAGGGAGGAAGAGGACACCUGCCUAGCCAGCCAGAUCAGCUGAAUCAACCCUGGUGAUCAAUGGGGUGACAGAUGUUGCAGCCAUAUCGCCCUCAUAUCCUGUCACCUUAUUUGGAAUUGGGUCUCUGCAGUUGUAAUUAGUUAAGUUAAAAUCAGGUCAUAUUGGAUUAGGGUGGGCCCUAAUCCAAUGCCUAGUGUCCUUGUGAGAAGAGAAAACAGAGACACAGACACACAAUGGAGAAAGCCAUGGGAAGACAGAAGCAGAGAUUUGAGUAAUGCAUGUAUAAACUAAGGAACACAAAGGAUUUCCAGGACCUCCAAAAAGCAAAUAUUUAUACCUACUGUGAAAAUGCUUUCAAGAGGAGGCGAAUUCU
Molecule: long non-coding RNA, 659 nt
Filed under: Pan troglodytes (chimpanzee)
Lineage: Eukaryota; Metazoa; Chordata; Mammalia; Primates; Hominidae
Description: long non-coding RNA NONPTRT010118
Source: RNAcentral